CGUGAUGCUAGGAUCGUCUAGACACCUCCUGAUCGUCAAUCUGACAACCCAAACGAGAGAAGAUCUAGAGAGAAGGCAAAGAAUUCUAGGGGAAUACUGUUCUAGAGAUAAAAGUAUUUUAGAUAAUGAACCGAGCUAUAAAAAUUUCUAUUUAUAUUAUAAGAUUAUUUUAAAGUAACUUGUUCGUCUCAUUAUUUUAAAAC
RNAcentral lists this long non-coding RNA (203 nucleotides) under Vigna radiata. RNAcentral describes it as "long non-coding RNA (VRAD_LNC017942)". Lineage: Eukaryota; Viridiplantae; Streptophyta; Magnoliopsida; Fabales; Fabaceae. The record is from RNAcentral.